AUUGGAGUGGCAGAUCAGUGCUUAGGAUUUAAGAUCCUACUAGGGAGUAGUUUAGCGUAUUCUCUCUAAUA
RNAcentral lists this transfer RNA (71 nucleotides) under Sepiadariidae sp. GS-2020. Its description in RNAcentral is "tRNA-Leu". Lineage: Eukaryota; Metazoa; Mollusca; Cephalopoda; Sepiida; Sepiadariidae. The record is from RNAcentral.